ACUAUAUAUUACAUGGACUGCCAACUCUACGCACUAAGCCUAUAUUUUUCAAUAAACAAGUCCCGUUCACGGAGGCGUCCUUGGUUGCGUGGUAAAUUGACUUCCGGUAGAUUUUUUUUUACGUAUAAAGAAACCAUUCUCGAAGAUUUUUACCACCACUUUUACAGCAAAUCAUGAAUGGAAACUGAAUUGUUAAAGAAGAUGUUACAGAGGAGCAUACUACUUCCAAAAACCUGAUUUGAUUGUCACUAACUUUCAAAUUGAAAGGGAUCUACUACAACUGCUCAUGAAUUUCGAGAUUUUACAGCUAAUAGAGGAACAAAUUUUAUCUACUUCCACUUAGCCAAACAGCAUGGAAAUAUGCUAUUGUAAUGAGUAGAAGAUAUUUGUCAUUUAGAAUAUCAUGCAACAGCUAAUUAUCAGUCCACACAUUUCAAGAUGAGGAAAAGAACAGUAUAAGCUACAUUCAUUGAUGCAUUAUUUAUACAAAAAUGUAUAGUCAACCCAGUCAUCACUCCAUUUUUUUAUGAAGCCAGUUACAGUUACCAUGAAGGGAUGAAAUUUCAGAUAAUAUUCUGUUUAUUUCAUGAAAUGAGAAUAGGCCUACAUCAGAAAUUGAAAUGGUCAUCUUCAGUAUUUAAUGUUUCAUCUAAAAAUGAUAAUUAUAUUAAUACAUAUUUGAUGUACAAACAAAUGAAAACCAUUCAAACACUUUUUUUUUGUGAAGUAUAGAUGAUUAAACUUGUAAGUGUCUGAACAAUA
Molecule: long non-coding RNA, 762 nt
Organism: Biomphalaria glabrata
Lineage: Eukaryota; Metazoa; Mollusca; Gastropoda; Planorbidae
Exons: 3
Source: RefSeq, a predicted model, not a curated record